GCUGUGUCGGGUGGUGGCGGGUUUAACGACACAUUUCUAUUCACACGAUCUAACCCAAACAACUUCUAUUGUGGAUUUUUAUCGCGAAUGCCCCACUCCGACAACCACUCCGUGUUAAACUCAAGUUAACAUUAUGACUACGACUGCGAUGCGAGAACGGUCUCGCGCGAACCGUUCGCAUUGCUCCGUCUCCACGGCGGUGGCCCUCUCGGGCUGCGUUAUCUCCUUUAAGUUGUCGAUGCAUCGUCGGUGUAGUCCAUCAGCAGCCGCCAGUCAUUCCGUUCCACUAAAGCGGUGUCCCCACCCGAACUCGCUCAUUUCCAUCGCCAGCCAUUUGUUCCCCGAUACGCGAAUUCUCUCCGUUCUGUCGCUCAGUUUAAUAUGCGCGCGUGCGUGUCGGCCACGCUGCUGUACAUAACUAAUCUGCGACACCCCUUCCUCCCGUUACCUCCAAGCGUUAUGGAAACAACGCAAGGGCGUUGUGACUCGCAGCGGUCCCCGGGGUUCGCAUGUCGCCGUGGGUGAGGUGCGCGUGGAGGUGAACAGCGUCACGGGCGAGACCUCGGCCCCUCGAUGUUGGCAAGGGGCCGAGCCGCCUGGAGGUGACUCCUGCCGUGGGGAGGUUGACACCGCCGCCUCCUGCUGCUGCCACAUCCUGUCGUGUGCGGGGUAUCCCCAAAUCAUCCACAACGCGCCAGAUCUCGCCAGACGUUGGGAAGCUGAGCGGGGCUUGACCCUGGACACGACACUGCGCAAUGGACGGGUGCGGUGCGCGUUGCGGGCAGCAGAGAACGGUGCAGCCAAAUCCACGUCGUUCGUUCGCCAACCCGCACUGCCCAUCUCGCUCGACUUGCCUGGCGAGUUAAGCUCACGACCACGGCGUCACAUCUGCAUCUGUCACGGAAGCAACUGGCGGAUGAGAAAGAGGAUGCGAAACGGCACGAGGAAGAGGAUGGAAAGCCAAUUAAUACAUCGACACUCCAGGAAAAAAGAAUGAGAAGUGAAACCUCAGCGCCCGAGCGAAAUUAAGCAACGGGGAAACCACUGAAGCGUGGGGUUCGCCUACACCUCCAGUGUAUGACCCACUGGACAUGUGUGGGGGAAAAAAAAAGCUUCAUAGCUCAUCGGAUUCUUCCAGUCUAAACAACGUUUCUGGGUCCGUGUAUCGUCCUGGAUUAUUUGAAAUUAACCCAGCAGUGGAAUGACCGUGACUGAUGUUGAUGAUGACUUUCACGUAUUGAUGAGUUCCUUAGGGCGCAGGGUAAUAGCGCAAUGGAUGGAGACAUUUUUUUGGAAUAACAAAGCACGCCUUCACAUUAUAAGACGCACUUUUCUCCCUGACAGUCAAAACAAAAGUUGAGGGUGCGUUUUAUAAUCCGGUGUGAGAGACCAGCUUUGUAUAACUGUAUUUUUAUAACUUUAUUCACAGUGGGCACGAGAUUGGGGGGUGCGCCGUACUUUUUCCCGAACGCCUUUUUAAUCCGGAUGAUCUGCGGUGAUUAGACUCGUGGAAAUAUUUUCUUUACAGCCAGGGCAACAGGGCGAUUGGAAAAUGUCGAGAGACUGAGCUCUAUUGCGGCGUUAAAUAUAAACACACGACUGUUAGAUAAAAAUAGUGUGGCGCAAAGAGGACAUCGUGCUGCAGUGAGCACACGUACUGUACGUGUGCCACUACUACACCGAUGGAUACAAGAAUUCCUGCGCCGUGUUGGUCAAUGGGGUAUUUUAACCAUACUUCACCACUGGGGUUGGUGAAAGGAGGAGGAGGAGGAGGCAUGACCGGCUCUGAUACAUUUAAGAUAAAACUCUUGCAAAAAAAAGAGUCAACAGACUCAGAUUGUUCCGUACAUAUAAAGGCCAUCUUAUUAUUAUGCAACACAUUCUUUCGUGCUAAUAGAUUUACUAACAAUCCUGAACGAAUCAGAAUAGGAGCCAAACGAGUUUACACGCCCAACGCCCAUGUUAAUGUUAUUCACAGCAAUUAUUGACCGGAGACAGAAAUCCAUGAUGGGCAUGAAGGGAUGUGGCAGGACACGUUUCUCUACCCUGCAGGGCGAUGCCGAGCGGGAGAGACUGUCAGUGGCUAUGCCUCGCCACUGUUCAACGACGAAGUCACAGUUAAUUACCACCGCCUGUCUCUGCCUCUCAUGCAUUAUAAAACACAUUAUAAACACUCAGAAGACCAUUGCAACCGACUAAAAGAGACGCCGUGUUUUUUUGUUCUAAAGGGUAUGCACAAAGGGCACACGCACGGUUAAUUAAUUUGUUUGGAUUAAAUAUGGGGGUUGGGGGGGGGCUGAAAUUAAGACUCCUCGAAUGAAAACAAGGAAGCGUUUGUCUUGACGACAGUGUCUAUCUGCUCAGACCGUCAGGACGUUCGUGCAAAUUCCACAUUCCUAUGGCGCACACCACUAUACACAACAACAACCGCCAUUCGCCACUAAGUGGUGGUGACGUCACCACGGCGCC
Molecule: long non-coding RNA, 2469 nt
Organism: Petromyzon marinus (sea lamprey)
Lineage: Eukaryota; Metazoa; Chordata; Hyperoartia; Petromyzontiformes; Petromyzontidae
Source: RefSeq, a predicted model, not a curated record